AAGCACGUAGGUGGGUUUGUAAGUCAGACGUGAAAGCCUUCUGUUCAACAGAAGAAUUGCAUCUGAAACUACAAACCUUGAGUGUAGGAGGGGAGAAUGGAACUUCUGGUGGAGCGGUGAAAUGCGUAGAUAUCAGAAGGAACGCCGGCGGCGAAAGCGAUUCUCUGGCCUAUUACUGACACUCAGUGUGCGAAAGCUAGGGGAGCAAACGGGAUUAGAUACCCCGGUAGUCCUAGCCGUAAACGAUGGGCACUAAGUAGAGGGGUUUU
RNAcentral lists this ribosomal RNA (269 nucleotides) under uncultured Planctomycetales bacterium. Its description in RNAcentral is "partial 16S ribosomal RNA". It matches the Rfam family "Bacterial small subunit ribosomal RNA", at positions 567 to 832 of the family's 1533-position model. The record is from RNAcentral. Lineage: Bacteria; Pseudomonadati; Planctomycetota; Planctomycetia; Planctomycetales.